Long non-coding RNA from Myotis davidii, 691 nucleotides. RefSeq lists it as uncharacterized. The transcript is spliced from 3 exons. NCBI's taxonomy places the organism in Eukaryota, Metazoa, Chordata, Mammalia, Chiroptera, Vespertilionidae. The record is from RefSeq and is a predicted model, not a curated record.
GGGGGACGGGGUGGCUCCGGCCGUGCAGGGUGCGUGGGGCCCGGGCUAAGGCCCCCAAGGGAGUCCGAGCCUCAAACAGCAGCAGCAGAGAGGGUGGCAAGCCUACCGGGCGCUGUGGUGUGGAACCCCAAAACCCACCCUCCCCAGAAGCGGGGUGCACAGGCACCCAGCCUCUGUGGGGUCGCAGUGAGCCCUGGCUUGGCCCCCUCCGGGCUUCCUGCCCGCGCCUGCACACCGUGGUCCACUCGAACGUUUCCCCCCCAAAAUGCAGUUCAUUCUCCUCAGGGUGGCCCCCCAAGGCUGCAAAGGGAGCAGCCUGGGCCCCUGGGAAGCGCCCCCCACAGACAGGCGGGCCGCCCCCUGGGAAACCGGGGUGCUAGCAGCUGCCUUCCCAGAGUCGUUGUGAGGAUUAAUUGAGGAAAUGUCUGCGAGGAGAUAAGACUCCGAGAUACGGACCAUAAAUGUUUGUUGUUACAGCGCGAUAACCCUCGGCCGCCUUAGAGAGCCGCCCCAAUUAGCCCCGAAGCAGCCGCUGCCAGGCCCUCCCCUAAUAUGGGGGAGCCGCGGAGCCCGGGGACUCGCACCCCUUCGAGUCUGCCUUCGACUUCGGGACCGGCCAGCCCAGCUCUCGGACGGACAGACGGACGCUGACCCAGGUGCUGCCCGCCCCCUCCGCAGCCAUGCCGGAAGU